Molecule: ribosomal RNA, 1490 nt
Filed under: uncultured organism
Description: SSU rRNA
Rfam family: Bacterial small subunit ribosomal RNA
Source: RNAcentral
CUCAGGAUGAACGCUGGCGGCGUGCCUAAUACAUGCAAGUCGAACGAGUUCUCGUUGAUGAUCGGUGCUUGCACCGAGAUUCAACAUGGAACGAGUGGCGGACGGGUGAGUAACACGUGGGUAACCUGCCCUUAAGUGGGGGAUAACAUUUGGAAACAGAUGCUAAUACCGCAUAGAUCCAAGAACCGCAUGGUUCUUGGCUGAAAGAUGGCGUAAGCUAUCGCUUUUGGAUGGACCCGCGGCGUAUUAGCUAGUUGGUGAGGUAAUGGCUCACCAAGGCGAUGAUACGUAGCCGAACUGAGAGGUUGAUCGGCCACAUUGGGACUGAGACACGGCCCAAACUCCUACGGGAGGCAGCAGUAGGGAAUCUUCCACAAUGGACGCAAGUCUGAUGGAGCAACGCCGCAUGAGUGAAGAAGGCUUUCGGGUCGUAAAACUCUGUUGUUGGAGAAGAAUGGUCGGCAGAGUAACUGUUGUCGGCGUGACGGUAUCCAACCAGAAAGCCACGGCUAACUACGUGCCAGCAGCCGCGGUAAUACGUAGGUGGCAAGCGUUAUCCGGAUUUAUUGGGCGUAAAGCGAGCGCAGGCGGUUUUUUAAGUCUGAUGUGAAAGCCCUCGGCUUACCCGAGGAAGCGCAUCGGAAACUGGGAAACUUGAGUGCAGAACACGACAGUGGAACUCCAUGUGUAGCGGUGAAAUGCGUAGAUAUAUGGAAGAACACCAGUGGCGAAGGCGGCUGUCUGGUCUGUAACUGACGCUGAGGCUCGAAAGCAUGGGUAGCGAACAGGAUUAGAUACCCUGGUAGUCCAUGCCGUAAACGAUGAAUGCUAGGUGUUGGAGGGUUUCCGCCCUUCAGUGCCGCAGCUAACGCAUUAAGCAUUCCGCCUGGGGAGUACGACCGCAAGGUUGAAACUCAAAGGAAUUGACGGGGGCCCGCACAAGCGGUGGAGCAUGUGGUUUAAUUCGAAGCAACGCGAAGAACCUUACCAGGUCUUGACAUCUUUUGAUCACCUGAGAGAUCAGGUUUCCCCUUCGGGGGCAAAAUGACAGGUGGUGCAUGGUUGUCGUCAGCUCGUGUCGUGAGAUGUUGGGUUAAGUCCCGCAACGAGCGCAACCCUUAUGACUAGUUGCCAGCAUUUAGUUGGGCACUCUAGUAAGACUGCCGGUGACAAACCGGAGGAAGGUGGGGAUGACGUCAAAUCAUCAUGCCCCUUAUGACCUGGGCUACACACGUGCUACAAUGGAUGGUACAACGAGUUGCGAGACCGCGAGGUCAAGCUAAUCUCUUAAAGCCAUUCUCAGUUCGGACUGUAGGCUGCAACUCGCCUACACGAAGUCGGAAUCGCUAGUAAUCGCGGAUCAGCACGCCGCGGUGAAUACGUUCCCGGGCCUUGUACACACCGCCCGUCACACCAUGAGAGUUUGUAACACCCGAAGCCGGUGGCGUAACCCUUUUAGGGAGCGAGCCGUCUAAGGUGGGACAAAUGAU